This 381-nucleotide unclassified non-coding RNA is filed under the name soil metagenome. Its description in RNAcentral is "partial contains 5.8S ribosomal RNA, internal transcribed spacer 2, and large subunit ribosomal RNA". The stretch from base 1 to 120 matches the Rfam family "5.8S ribosomal RNA", at positions 35 to 154 of the family's 154-position model. The record is from RNAcentral.
GAUGAAGAACGUAGCGAAAUGCGAUAAGUAGUGUGAAUUGCAGAAUUCAGUGAAUCAUCGAAUCUUUGAACGCACAUUGCGCCCCUUGGUAUUCCGAGGAGCAUGCCUGUUUGAGUGUCAUUAAUAUAUCAACCUCUUCAGCUUAUGCUUGUUGAGUGUUGGAUGGUGGGGGUUUGCUGGUGUCUUAUGAAGUCAGCUCCUCUGAAAUGCAUUAGCGGAACAAUUUGUUGACCGUUCAUUGGUGUGAUAAAAAUAUCUACGCUAUUGACGUCAGUCAGUUCAGCUUCUAACAGUCCAUUGACUUGGACAAAUUUUUCAUUAAUGUGACCUCAAAUCAGGUAGGACUACCCGCUGAACUUAAGCAUAUCAAUAAGCGGAGGA